AGUGAACGCUGGCGGUAGGCCUAACACAUGCAAGUCGAACGGCAGCACAGUAAGAGCUUGCUCUUACGGGUGGCGAGUGGCGGACGGGUGAGGAAUACAUCGGAAUCUACUUUUUCGUGGGGGAUAACGUAGGGAAACUUACGCUAAUACCGCAUACGACCUACGGGUGAAAGCAGGGGAUCUUCGGACCUUGCGCGAUUGAAUGAGCCGAUGUCGGAUUAGCUAGUUGGCGGGGUAAAGGCCCACCAAGGCGACGAUCCGUAGCUGGUCUGAGAGGAUGAUCAGCCACACUGGAACUGAGACACGGUCCAGACUCCUACGGGAGGCAGCAGUGGGGAAUAUUGGGCAAUGGGCGCAAGCCUGAUCCAGCCAUACCGCGUGGGUGAAGAAGGCCUUCGGGUUGUAAAGCCCUUUUGUUGGGAAAGAAAAGCAGCAGGUUAAUACCCCGCUGUUCUGACGGUACCCAAAGAAUAAGCACCGGCUAGCUUCGUG
Molecule: ribosomal RNA, 492 nt
Filed under: uncultured bacterium
Lineage: Bacteria
Description: partial 16S ribosomal RNA
Rfam family: Bacterial small subunit ribosomal RNA
Source: RNAcentral